Molecule: ribosomal RNA, 460 nt
Filed under: uncultured bacterium
Lineage: Bacteria
Description: partial 16S ribosomal RNA
Rfam family: Bacterial small subunit ribosomal RNA
Source: RNAcentral
CCUACAGGCGGCAGCAGUGAGGAAUAUUGGUCAAUGGGCGUAAGCCUGAACCAGCCAAGUCGCGUGAGGGAUGAAGGUUCUAUGGAUCGUAAACCUCUUUUAUAAGGGAAUAAAGUGUGGGACGUGUCCUAUUUUGUAUGUACCUUAUGAAUAAGGAUCGGCUAACUCCGUGCCAGCAGCCGCGGUAAUACGGAGGAUCCGAGCGUUAUCCGGAUUUAUUGGGUUUAAAGGGUGCGUAGGCGGCCUUUUAAGUCAGCGGUGAAAGUCUGUGGCUUAACCAUAGAAUUGCCGUUGAAACUGGGGGGCUUGAGUAUGGGUGAGGCAGGCGGAAUGCGUGGUGUAGCGGUGAAAUGCGUAGAUAUCACGCAGAACCCCGAUUGCGAAGGCAGCCUGCCAAGCCAUGACUGACGCUGAUGCACGAAAGCGUGGGGAUCAAACAGGAUUAGAUACCCGGGUAGUC